This 207-nucleotide ribosomal RNA is filed under the name uncultured bacterium. RNAcentral describes it as "partial 16S ribosomal RNA". It matches the Rfam family "Bacterial small subunit ribosomal RNA", at positions 568 to 774 of the family's 1533-position model. The record is from RNAcentral.
CGCGUAGGCGGACAUUUAAGUCAGGGGUGAAAUCCCGGGGCUCAACCCCGGAACUGCCCUUGAUACUGGGUGUCUUGAGACCGGAAGAGGUAAGUGGAACUGCGAGUGUAGAGGUGAAAUUCGUAGAUAUUCGCAAGAACACCAGUGGCGAAGGCGGCUUACUGGUCCGGAUCUGACGCUGAGGCGCGAAAGCGUGGGGAGCAAACA